Molecule: ribosomal RNA, 127 nt
Filed under: Peromyscus maniculatus bairdii (prairie deer mouse)
Lineage: Eukaryota; Metazoa; Chordata; Mammalia; Rodentia; Cricetidae
Source: RNAcentral
GUCUACAGCCAUAGCACCCAGAUCAUGCCUGAUCUUGUCUGAUCUCAGAAGGAGUCAUGGCUGGGCCUGGUUAGUACUUGCAUGGGAGAGACCAUGCUUAGGGACUGGUAAGAUGACUCUGUGGGUA